This 460-nucleotide ribosomal RNA is filed under the name uncultured bacterium. Its description in RNAcentral is "partial 16S ribosomal RNA". It matches the Rfam family "Bacterial small subunit ribosomal RNA", at positions 338 to 795 of the family's 1533-position model. The record is from RNAcentral.
CCUACGGGAGGCAGCAGUGAGGAAUAUUGGUCAAUGGACGAGAGUCUGAACCAGCCAAGUCGCGUGAAGGAUGACUGCCCUAUGGGUUGUAAACUUCUUUUAUAUGGGAAUAAAAUGUUCCACGUGUGGGCUUUUGUAUGUACCCUAUGAAUAAGGAUCGGCUAACUCCGUGCCAGCAGCCGCGGUAAUACGGAGGAUCCGAGCGUUAUCCGGAUUUAUUGGGUUUAAAGGGAGCGUAGGUGGAUUGGUAAGUCAGUUGUGAAAGUUUGGGGCUCAACCGUAAAAUUGCAGUUGAAACUGGCAGUCUUGAGUACAGGAGAUGUGGGCGGAAUUCGUGGUGUAGCGGUGAAAUGCUUAGAUAUCACGAAGAACUCCGAUUGCGAAGGCAGCUUACUGGACUGCAACUGACACUGAGGCUCGAAAGCGUGGGUAUCAAACAGGAUUAGAUACCCGAGUAGUC